UAAAUUAUGGCAUAAUUCAGUAAUGCAAUGUGUUAUUUCCUAACCCACACGUCUUGUUGUUGCAAUUGCCGUUUCUUUGAUCACUGUGGUUAUCAUCAUCCUUUUUCUCAUUAAAAUUCAUUUUCGUGAUUAUUGUGCUGCUUGCUGUAGAAGAUUCAAGAUUGACAAGAAAAUAACUGAUAUGUGAAUGACAGAUGCUGCAUCAGCCACACAGUUCUGCUCAUCAUGAAUCCUCUGAAGCCCAACUGGAGCUCUUAUGACUUUUUAUUUCUCUUUGGCCUCUCUGAACAAAAAUUCAGAUUCAUAAGGUGAUUUAUACUUAAGCUCAGGGGCAUUUUUUGGUAUUUUUGCCUAAAUUUGACAUACUCAAAUUCAAAUGUUUACCCUACACACAUACAAUGGAGGAAAUGAAAAAAAAAAUGGUUUCAUUUUAAAGAAAACCCUUUGAACUACAAAAUAUGAGUGUAAUCCUUUCUAAAUAACAUUCUUUCAAAUAUUACA
Molecule: long non-coding RNA, 501 nt
Organism: Cyprinus carpio (common carp)
Lineage: Eukaryota; Metazoa; Chordata; Actinopteri; Cypriniformes; Cyprinidae
Exons: 3
Source: RefSeq, a predicted model, not a curated record